This 233-nucleotide long non-coding RNA is filed under the name Capsicum annuum. RNAcentral describes it as "long non-coding RNA (CANN_LNC016217)". The record is from RNAcentral. Lineage: Eukaryota; Viridiplantae; Streptophyta; Magnoliopsida; Solanales; Solanaceae.
CUAACGUUGUGGCACAAGUGUUUGUGAACUUCUUGGAAGGAAAAUUGAGACUAGAGUUAAGGUAAAUGUAAGCAUGCUGACAAACGAUCUGGUACUUAGCAUAGACCAGCAAAUGCAACUAUUGGCACCACUCACUGGCAAAGAUGUGAAGGGGUAAUUUUUUUCAAAUAUAUAAGCUUAAAAGUGUAGGCACGAUGGUUAUGGAAGUGGUUUCUUCAAGAAAGUAUGGGGAU